ACUCUGUAGGUUAAUUAAACUUCAUAAAUUGCUUUUGUGAGAUAGGGGGUUGAAUA
RNAcentral lists this transfer RNA (56 nucleotides) under Pomphorhynchus bulbocolli. RNAcentral describes it as "tRNA-Ala". Lineage: Eukaryota; Metazoa; Acanthocephala; Palaeacanthocephala; Echinorhynchida; Pomphorhynchidae. The record is from RNAcentral.